CGGGUGAGUAACACGUGGAUAACCUACCUAUAAGACUGGGAUAACUUCGGGAAACCGGAGCUAAUACCGGAUAAUAUAUUGAACCGCAUGGUUCAAUAGUGAAAGACGGUUUUGCUGUAACUUAUAGAUGGAUCCGCGCCGCAUUAGCUAGUUGGUAAGGUAACGGCUUACCAAGGCAACGAUGCGUAGCCGACCUGAGAGGGUGAUCGGCCACACUGGAACUGAGACACGGUCCAG
RNAcentral lists this ribosomal RNA (237 nucleotides) under uncultured Staphylococcus sp. Its description in RNAcentral is "partial 16S ribosomal RNA". It matches the Rfam family "Bacterial small subunit ribosomal RNA", at positions 103 to 334 of the family's 1533-position model. Lineage: Bacteria; Bacillati; Bacillota; Bacilli; Caryophanales; Staphylococcaceae. The record is from RNAcentral.